UGAUUGUCCGAAUGCAAUUCUUG
This 23-nucleotide microRNA is filed under the name Callorhinchus milii (elephant shark). RNAcentral describes it as "Cmi-Mir-219-P3_5p (mature (co-guide))". The record is from RNAcentral. Lineage: Eukaryota; Metazoa; Chordata; Chondrichthyes; Chimaeriformes; Callorhinchidae.